GAUAAACGCUAGCGGCAGGCUUAACACAUGCAAGUCGAGGGGCAGCAUAGAUUGUAGCAAUACAAUUGGUGGCGACCGGCGCACGGGUGCGUAACGCGUAUGCAACCUACCCGUCACAGGGGGAUAAUCCGGAGAAAUCUGGUCUAAUACCCCAUAACAUAUGGAUCGGCAUCGGUUCAUGUUGAAAUUUUCGGAGGUGACGGAUGGGCAUGCGUAGCAUUAGCUUGUUGGUGAGGUAACGGCUCGCCAAGGCGACGAUGCUUAGGGGGACUGAGAGGGUUUCCCACCACACUGGUACUGAGACACGGACCAGACUCCUACGGGAGGCAGCAGUGAGGAAUAUUGGUCAAUGGGCGCAAGCUUGAACCAGCCAUGCCGCGUGCAGGAUGACGGCUCUAUGAGUUGUAAACUGCUUUUGUACGAGGGUAAAGUGGGUUACGUGUAACCUUUUGAAAGUACCGUACGAAUAAGGAUCGGCUAACUCCGUGCCAGCCGCCGCCGUAA
This 504-nucleotide ribosomal RNA is filed under the name uncultured bacterium. Its description in RNAcentral is "partial 16S ribosomal RNA". It matches the Rfam family "Bacterial small subunit ribosomal RNA", at positions 28 to 523 of the family's 1533-position model. The record is from RNAcentral.